Molecule: long non-coding RNA, 819 nt
Organism: Athene cunicularia (burrowing owl)
Lineage: Eukaryota; Metazoa; Chordata; Aves; Strigiformes; Strigidae
Exons: 3
Source: RefSeq, a predicted model, not a curated record
GGGCAAAGCCCUCUUCACAGAGCCCCAGCACAGCCAUGAUGUCACCAGGGAGGGUAACACUCGCAAGGGAGAAGUGGCGGAGGAGCAUGAGGCCACCGCCGGCCGCGACGUCGUUAUAUACUGUAAAAAAAAAAAACCCACCACGGGAGAUGACCCCUACUAGGUCCUGACCCUCCUCAUCACCGUCUCCACCUGGCUUGUCCUUAAGCUCUUCAGUGACCAUCACCCAGCAGCUGCUUACCAACAGAGUUCAGAUUUCCUGGGUGAGCUCAGGGAGAACUGGAGAGCUUUGGCCUGCAGGAGGAGGGUGACAAUCUGUCGGGUGAAGAGGAGCUGCCCUGAAGAGAAGACCCCAUCUGCCUCAGCCCUGCACCCUGGGACUGUUCUUCCCUUUGCUCUGGAUCUCGGGCUGCUCAGAGCUGCCCUUGGCAGAGGGAAUGUUCUCAGGCCCCGAGAGCUCUGGUGAUGCAGUUACUGCAUGUUUCUUCAAGGCAGAGCUGGCCAGGAGAGAGAAGUCGUGUUGGGAUCUGCAGGGCAGGGUCCUGCCAAGAUGCUUUAAUGGUACCCACUGGAGGAAACAAUCACUAAAUAACCUUUUGUACAAAGGUUUGAGCUUGUACCUUGCUGCCCUCCUGUUAGCAGCAGCCCAGUUACUGUACAGUGCCAGUCCAGUUGCCAGCCCUCGCCGUCACACCUCACCAGCGCUGCCUCUGCCCAUCGUGACCUCUGCUGCAGACUUUCUCUGGGUUUCCUUCCCUGUUCUGUCAGGGAGCAGCCAGGGCACUGCUGAGCAUGGGGGAUUUCUCCUUUCAGUCCUAC